UUUGUUUUAGUAUAAUAAAGUACAAAAAUUUUUGAAAUUUUUAGAAAAAGUUUGAGUCUUUUAAACCAAA
RNAcentral lists this transfer RNA (70 nucleotides) under Anaphothrips obscurus. RNAcentral describes it as "tRNA-Gln". It matches the Rfam family "tRNA". From Rfam's summary of the family: Transfer RNA (tRNA) molecules are approximately 80 nucleotides in length. Lineage: Eukaryota; Metazoa; Arthropoda; Insecta; Thysanoptera; Thripidae. The record is from RNAcentral.